RNAcentral lists this ribosomal RNA (318 nucleotides) under uncultured eukaryote. RNAcentral's name for it is "partial 18S ribosomal RNA". It matches the Rfam family "Eukaryotic small subunit ribosomal RNA", at positions 1470 to 1796 of the family's 1831-position model. The record is from RNAcentral.
CCCUUAGAUGUCCUGGGCCGCACGCGUGCUACACUGACGCAUACAGCGAGCACUUUCCAGUUCCGAGAGGCUACUGGUAAUCAUCAAUAUGCGUCGUGAUGGGGAUAGAUCUUUGGAAUUCUGGAUCUUGAACGAGGAAUGCCUAGUAAUCGCAGGUCAUUAGCCUGCGAUGAUUAAGUCCCUGCCCUUUGUACACACCGCCCGUCGCUACUACCGAUUUCGAGUGGUCAGGUGAAUCUUUCGGACUGUGGGCGCCCUUGAGGUGUUCGCGGAAAGUCAGGUAAAUCUUAUCACUUAGAGGAAGUAAAAGCCGUAACA